RNAcentral lists this ribosomal RNA (489 nucleotides) under Triticum aestivum (bread wheat). Its description in RNAcentral is "partial small subunit ribosomal RNA". Lineage: Eukaryota; Viridiplantae; Streptophyta; Magnoliopsida; Poales; Poaceae. The record is from RNAcentral.
AUGACGGGCUUCCAAAAGGUAGUCAGUGAUGCUUGGAACGAGGCUUCGAGGCACGGUGAGCCCUAUCAAAGGCUCUUCCACAAGCUCAAGAGGACAAGUCAAAAAUUGCGUGCUUGGAGCAAGACCCUCUUUGCAAACUCAAAGGUUCAACUCCACAUGGCCCUCGAAGUCAUCCUCCACCUUGACUCGGCGCAAGAUGAAAGAACUCUUAGCCCAGAAGAAAGUGACAUCCGCAAAAGGCUUAAGAGAAAGGUUAUCAGCUUGGCCGCCUUGGAGAAGGCCAGGAAGUGUCAAAACUCCAGAAUCACUAACCUCAAAGAAGGAGAUGCCAACACACGUUACUUCCAUCUGCGGGUCAACCAUAGAAGAAGGAAAAAUUUCAUUCACCGCCUCAAGCACAACAAUGGUUGGGUCACUGAGCACGAGCACAAGAAAAACAUUGUCCACCACCACUUCAAGAACAUCGCAAAAAAAAGGCCCUUCACGUAA